This 283-nucleotide ribosomal RNA is filed under the name uncultured eukaryote. RNAcentral's name for it is "partial large subunit ribosomal RNA". It matches the Rfam family "Bacterial large subunit ribosomal RNA", at positions 2203 to 2486 of the family's 2925-position model. The record is from RNAcentral.
CUCUUGUAAAGCUAGAAUUCUAACCUUGUAUCGUAAGCAGGUCAAGGAACAGUUUCAGGUGGGCAGUUUGACUGGGCGGUCGCCUCCUAAAAGGUAACGGAGGCGCACAAAGGUUUCCUCAUAUCGGUCAGAAAUCGAUAGUAGAGCGUAAAGGCAUAAGGAAGCUUGACUGCGAGACCUACAAGUCGAGCAGAGACGAAAGUCGGUCUUAGUGAUCUGACGGUUCCGAGUGGAAGGGCCGUCACUCAACGGAUAAAAGUUACUCUAGGGAUAACAGGCUGAA